AAUUUAAACCUCUAAACAUCGAGAGAAUUCAGGGGGAUCUUCUACCACCAGGCCCCAGCCAGUGCUGCUUGUGCAUGCUACGAGUACGACGUCGGCGGGGUCCCUCUGCCGUGGCCCUGGUCGCAAGUGGCCGUGGAACAGCAAAAGAAUCAAGUGGCAUUACAGAAAAGAGAGGGAGAAAAGCCUGAAAUAACUCGCAGCUCUACACUACAAUGAGAAUGCAGGACGAAGACAAUGCAGGACGGAGACAUGCUAGCCAGAACUAGAAAUGGAGACCUAAGAUUCUCAAUAGCACUUUAGAUACGCAAAGAAUGCAUGCAAAAUG
Long non-coding RNA from Asterias rubens (European starfish), 325 nucleotides. RefSeq lists it as uncharacterized. The transcript has 3 exons. The record is from RefSeq and is a predicted model, not a curated record. NCBI's taxonomy places the organism in Eukaryota, Metazoa, Echinodermata, Asteroidea, Forcipulatida, Asteriidae.